This 377-nucleotide ribosomal RNA is filed under the name Nematoda sp. RNAcentral describes it as "bacterial SSU rRNA". It matches the Rfam family "Eukaryotic small subunit ribosomal RNA", at positions 252 to 626 of the family's 1831-position model. Lineage: Eukaryota; Metazoa; Nematoda. The record is from RNAcentral.
CUGAAUAACUGAGCAGAUCGCUUCUGUCUUUGUACCGGCGACGUAUCUUUCUUGUGUCUGCCUUAUCAACUUUUUAUGGUGGUUUUUGUGCCUACCAUGGUUGUAACGGGUAACGGAGAAUAAGGGUGCGACUCCGGAGAGGGAGCCUGAGAAACGGCUACCACUUCUAAGGAAGGCAGCAGGCGCGCAAAUUACCCACUCUCGGCACGAGGAGGUAGUGACGAAAAAUAACAAGACGGGUCACGUCGGUGGUCCGUCAUCGGAAUGAGAACAAUGUAAACCCUUUAACGAGGACCUAGCGGAGGGCAAGUCUGGUGCCACCAGCCGCGGUAAUUCCUGCUCCGCCAGUGUAUAUCUAUGCUGCUGCGGUUAAAAAG